Molecule: ribosomal RNA, 465 nt
Filed under: uncultured Azomonas sp.
Lineage: Bacteria; Pseudomonadati; Pseudomonadota; Gammaproteobacteria; Pseudomonadales; Pseudomonadaceae
Description: bacterial SSU rRNA
Rfam family: Bacterial small subunit ribosomal RNA
Source: RNAcentral
CCUACGGGGGGCUGCAGUGGGGAAUAUUGGACAAUGGGCGAAAGCCUAAUCCAGCCAUGCCGCGUGUGUGAAGAAGGUCUUCGGAUUGUAAAGCACUUUAAGUUGGGAGGAAGGGUUGUAGAUUAAUACUCUGCAAUUUUGACGCUACCGACAGAAUAAGCACCGGCUAACUCUGUGCCAGCAGCCGCGGUAAUACAGAGGGUGUAAGCGUUAAUCGGAAUUACUGGGCGUAAAGCGCGCGUAGGUGGUUUAUUAAGUAGGAUGUGAAAUCCCCGAGCUCAACCUGGGAACUUCAUUAAAAACUGACUGACUAGAGUAUUGUAGAGGGUGGUGGAGUUUCCUGUGUAGCGGUGAAAUUCGUAGGUAUAGGAAGGGACACCAGUGGCGAAGGCGACCACCUGGACUGAUACUGACACUGAGGUGCGAAAGCGUGGGGAGCGAACAGGAUUAGAUACCCUGGUAGUC